This 253-nucleotide ribosomal RNA is filed under the name uncultured bacterium. RNAcentral describes it as "partial 16S ribosomal RNA". It matches the Rfam family "Bacterial small subunit ribosomal RNA", at positions 524 to 776 of the family's 1533-position model. The record is from RNAcentral.
UACGUAGGGUGCGAGCGUUGUCCGGAAUUACUGGGCGUAAAGAGCUCGUAGGUGGUUUGUCGCGUUGUCCGUGAAAACUCACAACUCAAUUGUGGGCGUGCGGGCGAUACGGGCAGACUGGAGUACUGCAGGGGAGACUGGAAUUCCUGGUGUAGCGGUGGAAUGCGCAGAUAUCAGGAGGAACACCGGUGGCGAAGGCGGCCCCCUGGGCCGUUCCUGACGCUGAGACGCGAAGGCGCGGGGAGCGAACGGG